This 492-nucleotide ribosomal RNA is filed under the name uncultured bacterium. Its description in RNAcentral is "partial 16S ribosomal RNA". It matches the Rfam family "Bacterial small subunit ribosomal RNA", at positions 29 to 507 of the family's 1533-position model. The record is from RNAcentral.
AGUGAACGCUGGCGGUAGGCCUAACACAUGCAAGUCGAACGGCAGCACAGUAAGAGCUUGCUCUUACGGGUGGCGAGUGGCGGACGGGUGAGGAAUACAUCGGAAUCUACUUUUUCGUGGGGGAUAAUGUAGGGAAACUUACGCUAAUACCGCAUACGACCUACGGGUGAAAGCAGGGGAUCUUCGGACCUUGCGCGAUUGAAUGAGCCGAUGUCGGAUUAGCUAGUUGGCGGGGUAAAGGCCCACCAAGGCGACGAUCCGUAGCUGGUCUGAGAGGAUGAUCAGCCACACUGGAACUGAGACACGGUCCAGACCCCUACGGGAGGCAGCAGUGGGGAAUAUUGGACAAUGGGCGCAAGCCUGAUCCAGCCAUACCGCGUGGGUGAAGAAGGCCUUCGGGUUGUAAAGCCCUUUUGUUGGGAAAGAAAAGCAGCAGGUUAAUACCCCGCUGUUCUGACGGUACCCAAAGAAUAAGCACCGGCUAACUUCGUG